ACCAUCUUCACCAUUCACCACAAGAGCGAGUAGAGCCCAAACUCAGGAACUCACCUUGGGUGCAGGGACUGCUGUGCUCCCAGAAAACAUCCCCUGUACGAAGAGUGAUAACAAGGCCUGCCAAAGCCAGGGAUUGAACCAGGUACCUUUAGAGCUUCGGUCUAACACUCUCCCAACUGAGCUACUCUGGCAGUUAUAUGAGAGCAUUUUGGCCUGUUGCUUCUCUGUCUGGGAUGUUUUUGUCAGCAGUUGCACACAAAAAGGACAGGAAAACAAAUGGCUGCUCCACACCCCCACCGGAGGAACCCGGCACCAUUAGCUGUGCCCCAUAGCUCCCAUGGAGUCGCUGACUUGGCUUCUUUCGCACUCUAGAGACAGGAGCAGAACCAGGGCUAUGGCUGAUCUAUGGGGCAUCAGGUGACUGCCAGAGGCUUCAGGUGCUGAGAGUUUGCCUGACCCCUCAGGGACACAGUGUGAGGUGGUGCCCCAGGGAUCUCUAUGAAAGGAGCAGAACGGGAUUUACUUGGGGUGGGGAGAGAAUUGAGAGUGUCUCAGGGGGUUGUAUAGAGAUGUUGCCCGGGUGAGAGACUGGCUAAAACACAGGCCUCACUGUGAGUAGGAUUCAAACUUGCUCAGGGAAACCCUUUUGGAUUUCAACUCCCACAUCUUAACCACUUGGCCAUCACAGCUGUGAAUACAAAAAUGCCCCAAUGCCAGAGAAACUGGUAAAAAAUCACAAUGACCAGGUGUGAAGCCAUCUGAACCACAGAAUUCCCACCACAAACCUGGCUCCCAAAGCACAGGGGGGAUUUGGGGUUUGUUCUCUUUGCUUAGCCAUGUGCAGUAGCACAGAGAGCACGUUUAAAAGUCUCUCCUCCCACAGAGCGGGAAUGGGAAAUGAUUCUCAACUUGAAGCCUGAUGUAGGGUGACCAGACGGCCCGAUUUUAUCGGGACUGUCCUGAUAUUUGCUUAUUUGUCCCGCGUCCCAAGCGAUGUGUGGUCGGGACCCUGGACAAACAAAUAACUUUGUCCUCUGUUCCAGCACACAGGCAUAGUCUGGAGGGAUACUUGUCCCCUCCAACUCCACCCUCUCAUUCCCCCAUUGGAU
Molecule: long non-coding RNA, 1109 nt
Organism: Gopherus flavomarginatus (Mexican gopher tortoise)
Lineage: Eukaryota; Metazoa; Chordata; Testudines; Testudinidae
Exons: 3
Source: RefSeq, a predicted model, not a curated record